CGGGCUGUAGCGCAGGGGCUANNUAGCGCGCUUGGUUCGGGACCAAGAUGUCGGAGGUUCAAAUCCUCUCAGCCCGACAA
RNAcentral lists this transfer RNA (80 nucleotides) under Spirochaetaceae bacterium. Its description in RNAcentral is "tRNA-Pro". It matches the Rfam family "tRNA". Rfam says of the family: Transfer RNA (tRNA) molecules are approximately 80 nucleotides in length. Their secondary structure includes four short double-helical elements and three loops (D, anti-codon, and T loops). The record is from RNAcentral. Lineage: Bacteria; Pseudomonadati; Spirochaetota; Spirochaetia; Spirochaetales; Spirochaetaceae.